Long non-coding RNA from Rhinopithecus roxellana (golden snub-nosed monkey), 475 nucleotides. RefSeq lists it as uncharacterized. The transcript has 3 exons. The record is from RefSeq and is a predicted model, not a curated record. Lineage: Eukaryota; Metazoa; Chordata; Mammalia; Primates; Cercopithecidae.
CUCUUCCUUUCUAGGGCAGUAACCAAGAAGCCUCAAAUUAUUUGGAUCAUAUUCAAAAGGCUGUGCAUUGAAAAUGGCUUUCUAGUUCUCUGAACUCAAUUAUUCUAACCCUAAGAAAGAUCUAAUGACGAAGUAAUGAAGACAAGUGGCAGACUGCAAGAAGCAUUCUGUGGAAUCUUACUGUGCAAAAGAGAGAAAAGUCAACAAUGGUCUGGUCAUGGUGAGGAAAGGAAGUUUCGUAAAAGUUCAACGAAGAGGAGAGACAGGAAAAAAGCAACCAAGCACAGUUUCUGAAUUGUUGGUCUACAAAAUGAAAGUCUAAUUUUUCCAUCAGUCCAAGCAGACUUCGUUGUAACCGAAGGCUGGCCACCCCGGGAAGUCUCGGAAAACGACGUGUUUCUUGAGGUACUUUCUUCCUCAUCGGACAACUCGGACUGCAUCUUUUUGUCUUCUUCAGAGAGGCGGUCCACAAGCU